CCUACGGGAGGCAGCAGUGAGGAAUAUUGGUCAAUGGGGGAAACCCUGAUGCAGCGACGCCGCGUGAGUGAAGAAGUAUUUCGGUAUGUAAAGCUCUAUCAGCAGGGAAGAAAAUGACGGUACCUGAUUAAGAAGCCCCGGCUAACUACGUGCCAGCCGCCGCGGUAAUACGUAGGGGGCCAGCGUUAUCCGGAUUUACUGGGUGGAAAGGGAGCGUAGACGGCAGUACAAGUCUGGAGUGAAAUGCCGGGGCUUAACCCCGGAACUGCGUUGGAAACUGGGCAGCUAGAGUGCAGGAGGGGUAAGUGGAAUUCCGAGUGUAGCGGUGAAAUGCGUAGAUAUUAGGAGGAACACCAGUGGCGAAGGCGGCUUACUGGACUGUAACUGACGUUGAGGCUCGAAAGCGUGGGGAGCAAACAGGAUUAGAUACCCUUGUAGUC
RNAcentral lists this ribosomal RNA (440 nucleotides) under uncultured bacterium. RNAcentral's name for it is "partial 16S ribosomal RNA". It matches the Rfam family "Bacterial small subunit ribosomal RNA", at positions 338 to 795 of the family's 1533-position model. The record is from RNAcentral.